CUGCGGAGGAUCAUUAAUGAAUUUUAGGACUCUCUUUUUAGAGGUCCGACCCUUUCAUUUCCUUACACUGUGCACACACUUCUUUUCACACAUUUUAACACUAUAGUAUAAGAAUGUAACAGUCUCUUUAUUGAGCAUAAAUAAAAAUAAAACUUUCAGCAACGGAUCUCUUGGCUCUCGCAUCGAUGAAGAACGCAGCGAAUUGCGAUAAGUAAUGUGAAUUGCAGAAUUCAGUGAAUCAUCGAAUCUUUGAACGCACCUUGCACUCUUUGGUAUUCCGAAGAGUAUGUCUGUUUGAGUGUCAUGAAACUCUCAACCCCCCUAUUUUGUAAUGAGAUGGGCGUGGGCUUGGAUUAUGACUGCUGUCGGCGUAAUUGCCGGCUCAGUUGAAAUACACGAGCAACCCAUUUGAAAUAAACGGCUUGACUCGGCGUAAUAAUUAUUUCGCUGAGGACGUUUUCUUCAAAAGUAAGAGGUGCUUCUAAUGCGCUUUUAUAGCUUUUAUAUUUUAGACCUCAAAUCAGUCAGGACUACCCGCUGAACUUAAGCAUAUCAAUAAGCGGAGGAAAAGAAACUAACAAGGAUUCCCCUAGUAACGGCGAGUGAAGUGGGAAAAGCUCAACUUUGAAAUCUGGUACUUUCAGUAUCCGAAUUGUAGUCUCAAGAAGUGUUUUCUGUGCUGGUCCAUGUAUGAGUCUGUUGGAACACAGCGUCAUAGAG
Molecule: ribosomal RNA, 720 nt
Filed under: Cystobasidium laryngis
Lineage: Eukaryota; Fungi; Basidiomycota; Cystobasidiomycetes; Cystobasidiales; Cystobasidiaceae
Description: eukaryotic LSU rRNA
Rfam family: 5.8S ribosomal RNA (bases 151-304)
Source: RNAcentral